This is a long non-coding RNA of Pseudoliparis swirei, 4518 nucleotides long. RefSeq lists it as uncharacterized. NCBI's taxonomy places the organism in Eukaryota, Metazoa, Chordata, Actinopteri, Perciformes, Liparidae. The transcript has 3 exons. The record is from RefSeq and is a predicted model, not a curated record.
GAAAGGUUUGAGGUGCGAGCCGGCUCACACCGGGUACUUUAUUGAGGGGAAAUAAUCGUGCUCUAAUGACAGACGUGUAGAUAACUGUCAUUAAAAGCCCGUCGGCGGCGCCCAGGCGCAGCGCGUCACCGCGCGCUGCUAACCUGUCGCACUGGAGAGGACACGGGUCCACGGGUCACGAUGCCCUGUCCCUCUCUUCUGACGACCGCCCCGGUCACGGUAUCCCCGCCUUACGCUUCGAGGGGGAACGGGAAACUCGAGCGAGGGCGAAGACCGAGUUAAGGGGGAGAGGAGGCGGAGAUCAGUAACUCCCUCUAUAUGAUUCCGCGAUCGUUCGGGCCUGAUGAAUGACGCGCGUGCACAUAGACAGUGGUAGCUGUUAUUCUCGGCACGCGGCACCCCGGAUGAUGUCAGAUCGAUCUCCGCGGAGAGAAAUGCUGGGUAUUCAAUAAUCUAGUCUCCUCCCAAACACGCUCGAGGUUACUAGGCUCGUAGAGCGGCUGGCGGGACACUUAUUAAUAUUCUUAUUCUUAGGACAAACUCCGCGACGAGGACUCGGUGUUACGAGUCCCUCUCUUGGUCCCCGAACCAACCACGGCUCGGCGGAGAGACGGAGGUCUACCGGCUGCAGCGAUAUCUCUCUUUAGUACAAAAUGUCCGUUACCAGUGUGUGAGGAAUCAGUAUGUGCCCUGAGUGACGGAGAUCAGUGGGUGUAGCCGUGCAGAUGUCGCUCAGACUCACCUCGGGGGCGGCGGGUGUCCGCUUUCGGGUCUCCUCCUUUGGUCUCCUCGGUGGGUCGACGGGUGAAGAAAUAGGACUCACAAAAAAGUAGGUCCACGAACCGAAUGUAAAGUUUAAGACUGCAAGGCAGCCAAGUAUUUUAUUCAAAAAAGGAAGAAAGAAAUAAACAAAGUACAAUUAUAAGUGAUUUCCCUCUCGGGAGCCUGACUCAAAAGUCACAAGAACUUAAAAAACUCUUUUUCUUCAGCCUCUCUUUCUUCUGAUCGUCACCUUUAUACCCUCGGCUCCUCCCACUUUUACCGGAUAUCCGUCCCCCUCUUUGGGGUGCUGAUGGGGGGUUCAUCCCCCCCCCCCUCUCUUCCUGAGAGGUUCUGGAGAGACUCUCUGUCCCACUUCAAAGAGGGGGACCGUUGUCUUCUCUUAUCUCUCAGGCAUUUAGGGUACCCGCUUUAUGACCCUUUCAGACCUGGUGAGACUUCCCGAUGCCAGUGACAUCAAACACACUCUAACCGGGGGUUAGGAUACCGAACAUAUUGGGAGACAUAUAUCACAUUAUCAUAUCAAUGACCAUUGAUCUACAGGCAGGUUAACACACAUGAAUCCAGGCUCGUGUUUAUUCACUUUCGUAGUAACAUCCUCUCUGGCCCAUUUGGUCAGGAUUUGGGCUCCUGAACACACAAUCAACCAGGUCUUCAUCUGAAUAUCACAAGAGGUGCCAUGGUCCUGUCGUGUCGAGCCGGUUGUAAACGCCUCCGCUGACCCCUCAGGACCUGUGUUCUGUCACACCUGGCCCUCUGCUUCUCGUCCCAGCGAUGGCCUCGAUGCUUUCAUCUGAUUUUACAGCCACUCUCCCUGUCGGCCGGCAUGAUGGAUUCCUUGUUGCUUUCCUAUUGUCGUAGUCUAAUGGAACUGGGGUCCCCUUUGAUCUGUUUUAUUACUCACAUUCCGCAUUCACUUUUCCCGGCCUGUUCUUGCUCUUGCUAAUCCCAGAAAAAUUCGCAUUUAUUUGUCCCACUUCUAACAGUACCUACGAGGCUCAAUGCGACGAGAGGUCUGUACACAUGUACUGUGUGUAUGUGUAUGUGUGUGUGUGGUGCUAAAACAAUCACAUUGAAUUCGCACUUUUUAUUAUCCAAUUAAAAAUGUCCACAACAAGCCGCCUCCUGCACUUUGCUGCUUUUUCCUCUCGUCACCAAAAAACCCUUCAGAGCUUAGCAGCCAAUCACACGCCAAGUUGUGGAAACGUGUCUCUUGCCGUGGGGGAUGGCGGGCGGCAGUCACGAGAGGGGGAAAACCACAGAACCAACUGCCACUUGCCAAAUAAUAACAAUGCAAAGCAUCUGUGGUGCCAGCAAGACGUCUAAAAGUGAAAUGACACAUUCCUACAAUUCCUCCCUAGUACCUGGUUGUUGUUCAGGGUUAUUCAUGUUCUGGAACCGGUUAUUACUUCAUCCCUCAAACUGACAGGCACUUCGCCUUUCAGGCUUUUCUCUGGAAGAAAUUCCCCUGUGUGUGUGUGUGUGUGUCUUGUGUGUCUUGUGUUUCUCUAGAAACUUUCCCCGAUGCUCACAUCAGAAAGAAUCCUCCGUGAGGUAAGUUAUUCUCUCUUCCUGAGGACUCUUUAUGAGGCUCACCGAGUUAUCGAUCCAAAUGUGUUCAUAUGCAGUUUGUGGAAGUUAACACAUUUUUUUUAAAGAGUAAAAGUAUAGCAACGCAAAGUUCAAAUAUAAGACUUGAGGUUUCUGAGUCUCCGGUGAGGCGUGUAGCACAUCAUUCACAGCCUAAUUUAUAGAAAAUGUUAAUCAUAACACAUGGGCACAUUUGUAUUUUUGUUUUUGUUUUAUGGCUGUUGACCGUGUUCUGAUUUAGAGUGAAAACGAUAUACACAAAAUUAAACAAUCUUUUAGAAGCUGUCUUCAUCAAUCGUUCAGAUUUCUGUUGUGGAAACGUGUGCACAUAUUUGAGAAGGUAAAACUUUAAAAUGAAAUAUUAAAUUUCAUAAAGUGUCAUAUAAAAAUUUAAUUUACAUAACCUAAGUAAUUAAACGGACACUUAAACCGUUUAGCAGCAACUGAACCUUUAACCCUCGGGCGAGGAACCAAAUAUGGUAACUUCAUUUAUUUUACUACAAACUGGCAAGGAACCAAAUAUGGUAACUUCAUUGACGUUGAUUUUCUACCCAAAAACAAUAUAAUUUUUUUUUUUUAUCUCACAACAAUAAAACAGUAUUUGUAUUUCCUCCAAUAGCACGGUAGUGUUGUCAUUUGGAAUUCCAAAGUAUUUCAAUAAGUGCCUCAUAAAGCGUUAAACUAAAGAGACUGCUUCAAACAAUGAUUACGUCAUCAUACGUCACCUGUGACUGCCGCUAUAUUCUCUCAUUGUGUUGACCAAUCUGCCACUUGUGUACUGCGUGUGUGUGUUUUAUUGUUUUGUAUUGUCCUGUCCAGUAUUGUCCUAUAGAGUCCGUGUUAUAAAUAUGUUAUAUGGCCACAUCCUUUUAAUGGUUGCAGACAAACUAAAUGCAUCUCUAGCUCACUCACAUUUAACUGAUGAAUGUGCAUCGUCUCUGGUACAUAAAUAUAUAAAUAAUAAACUGGGGAGGUUUAAUGCCUGUUAAAAUGUUCCCCGUGUCACAUGUUCUUAAUGCAGUACACAUUUGGACCUCAUUUCCAAAUAAAUGUUGAAUUAUUCCUUUAAUCCUUUUGAUCAGAAAGGUACAAUAAUGAACUCAUUUGAGUCUGAACAUGGAGAAGUUGAGAUGAUUAUGGUUAUGUAUCACACUGCAGACCAACGACAGAUCAACAUGCACCAGGUGGUCCUCCCUGGUGAGCCGGUCCAGGUCUACCCGGGUCCUCUGCUAGUAAUAUCCUUCUUUUGUUUACACUUGCAGAAUGUCCAGCCUGUGGUUGAUGAUUCUGCUCUACUCCGCCUCAGCAGAUACAAGAGUGUCCCUGAGGUGCUCCUCGCCAGUGGCAGUAGCAGCUGGAGACACAGCGUCACUAAACUGCUCCAUAGAUUCUACCAAUGGGGAGUUUAUUGGGGAAAAGUAUGUGUGGCGUGAAGUCCCCCCCAAGGACAUAACGCGUGGCAAGAAAUAUGACUUUGAAUGGGAUAAUGGGACAUAUGUGUCGUUGACCAUCUCAAAUGUUUUGGAGGAGAAGAACUACACUGUGGACAUCAUGGGACCGGCUGGUCGUUCAAACGGAUCUAUCCAAGUACUGGUUAUCACGCGGGAUGAAUCAGUCAUACGGAAUCCAUCCACCAAGCUGGAGACCUCCAUUCUCUUGUGUAUUUUCAUUGCCGUCAUUGCUUUGGGCAUGUUGUGCUUCCUUGCUUUCCUGUGGGAAAAAUUCAAUUUGAAUGAACGCUAUCAGGAAUUAAAUAACAGGAGGAGACCACUGGUAUGAGAACCCUGCUCGGAGAGGGCAGACUCGCUGAUUGCCACACAAAUAAGUGUCAGUUUACUUUAGAUAAAUAUGUACUGUAUAAAUAUAUAUAUAAUACUAUAUAUAUUUUAUAUAACAUAUUAUAUAUAAUAUACAAUAUAUUAUAUUGACUGACUGACUGUCACCCCCAGGACUACCACCUCUUCUUCCACCUUCCUCUCUCCUCCUUCUUCCCGCUCCUUCCUCUUCCUCCUCCUCCCUCUUCCUCCCACUCCUCCUCCCUCCUUGCGUUGAUUGUUGUUUGUCAUGUCCAAAUGUUGCACCUUCCACCAAAAAAAAUUCCUCGUUUGUUUGUGAAAACAUUCAUUCUUUGGCAAUAAACCUGUUUCU